This 323-nucleotide ribosomal RNA is filed under the name uncultured Pseudomonadota bacterium. Its description in RNAcentral is "bacterial SSU rRNA". It matches the Rfam family "Bacterial small subunit ribosomal RNA", at positions 30 to 351 of the family's 1533-position model. The record is from RNAcentral. Lineage: Bacteria; Pseudomonadati; Pseudomonadota.
AUUGAACGCUGGCGGCACGCCUAACACAUGCAAGUCGAGCGGUAGCAGGACUAGUAGCAAUACUAGUUGCUGACGAGCGGCGGACGGGUGAGGAACACGUAGGAACCUGCCCUUCAGAGGGGGAUAACUAAGGGAAACUUUAGCUAAUACCGCAUAAUCUCUGAGGAGUAAAGCUGCCGUAAGGUGGCACUGAAGGAGGGGCCUGCGUCCGAUUAGCUAGUUGGUGGGGUAAGAGCCUACCAAGGCGAUAAUCGGUAACUGGUCUGAGAGGACGGCCAGUCACACUGGGACUGAGACACGGCCCAGACUCCUACGGGAGGCUG